Molecule: ribosomal RNA, 500 nt
Filed under: uncultured bacterium
Lineage: Bacteria
Description: partial 16S ribosomal RNA
Rfam family: Bacterial small subunit ribosomal RNA
Source: RNAcentral
GACGAACGCUGGCGGCGUGCCUAAUACAUGCAAGUCGUGCGGACCUUGUUGAAAGCUUGCUUUUAAAAGGUUAGCGGCGGACGGGUGAGUAACACGUGGGCAACCUGCCUGUAAGACUGGGAUAACGCCGGGAAACCGGGGCUAAUACCAGAUCGUUUUUUCCUCCGCAUGGAGGAAAAAGGAAAGGCGGCUUCGGCUGCCACUUACAGAUGGGCCCGCGGCGCAUUAGCUAGUUGGCGGGGUAAUGGCCCACCAAGGCAACGAUGCGUAGCCGACCUGAGAGGGUGAUCGGCCACAUUGGGACUGAGACACGGCCCAAACUCCUACGGGAGGCAGCAGUAGGGAAUCUUCCGCAAUGGACGAAAGUCUGACGGAGCAACGCCGCGUGAGUGAAGAAGGCCUUCGGGUCGUAAAACUCUGUUGCCGAGGAAGAACAAGUGCCGUUCGAACAGGGCGGCGCCUUGACGGUACCCGGCCAGAAAGCCACGGCUAACUACGUG